CUCGGCGUGUGAUGCUGCGGGUAGCCUCAGAGGAAGGGGCGGGCCGGAUGCUGGAACUGAGAGAGGUGCGGUUCGUCGGGAAUCCCGGGCGGCCAAGGCUGGAGUCUCCUAAAUGGUGUCCUAUAGGUUUUGUCAUGGAGUGAAACUGAAACAAAUGUGGGUCUACUGAAUUCUUGGCACAGUACCUGGAAAAAACAUUGUUAAGGCAGAAAUUUUUAUUGUAUUUAUCACUUCAAACAUUUGACCAGUUUAUUUAGUUUUGUAGUGCUUUAGACAAAUAACUAUAUGUGGGCUUCACUUAGUGUAUAAUAAAUGUAAAGUUUGACCUCAAAUAGUUGACGUUUAUGGAGUACUUACAAUAUGCCAAUCUUUGUGAUAAGUCCUAGACAUAUAUUAUCUUAUUUAAUACUUACGGCAGUACUCUGAGUUAGGUUUGUUAAAUCCCUGUCUUAAUAGAUGGAGAAACUGAGGCAAAAACGGAUUAAGUUCCUUGCUCAUGGUCACAAAACUAGAGUCAUCUUCUUAACCUACUUAUUUUGUGUGACAUCUCUUUUCCUCCAUAUAACUGAACACUGGUAGAAGAGUGUAUAUGAAUAACAGACCUGAACUUAUUCUACCUAUCCAGCUUUGUGAAUUAGGGCAAGUCAUGUGACCACUCUGAAUUUCAUUUUCCUCACCUAUAAUAAAUGAAAACUUUGAACUGUUAUAUUUUAUCAAAUCUUGAAUCAUCAAAA
Molecule: long non-coding RNA, 734 nt
Organism: Cebus imitator (Panamanian white-faced capuchin)
Lineage: Eukaryota; Metazoa; Chordata; Mammalia; Primates; Cebidae
Exons: 3
Source: RefSeq, a predicted model, not a curated record